RNAcentral lists this ribosomal RNA (693 nucleotides) under Tura sp. ACD-2018. RNAcentral's name for it is "bacterial SSU rRNA". It matches the Rfam family "Eukaryotic small subunit ribosomal RNA", at positions 22 to 567 of the family's 1831-position model. Lineage: Eukaryota; Metazoa; Arthropoda; Malacostraca; Isopoda; Porcellionidae. The record is from RNAcentral.
CAGUCAUAUGCUUGUUUCAAAGAUUAAGCCAUGCAUGUGUCAGUACUAGCCUACCUAAGGUGAAACCGCGAAUGGCUCAUUAAACCAGUCAUGAUUUACAGGAUUUUGAAAAAUCCUUACUCGGAUAACUGUGGUAAUUCUAGAGCUAAUACGUGCAAUUAGUCUCCGACCCCGCGGCGGUCCUCGGAUGACGAGUCCGUCGUAGGGGGAAGGGCGCAUUUAUUAGACCAAAAACCGGGUGGACUUUGGCGUAUUGCGGGGUCGGCUCCGGGCGGCGGAAAAAGGGGGUACAUGCCUCCCCGUUCGUCCCGGCUGUCGCAGCUUCGCUCUUCGUCAUAAGAGGGUCCAUGCCUUUGAAGGUUUCGUGGUGACUCUGGAUAACUACUGCCGAGCGCUGAGGUCUUCGUACCGGCGCCGCAUCCUUCGAGUGUCUGCCUUAUCAGCUGUGGAUUGUAGGUUAUUCGCCUACAAUGGCUGUAACGGGUAACGGGGAAUCAGGGUUCGAUUCCGGAGAGGGAGCCUGAGAAACGGCUACCACAUCUAAGGAAGGCAGCAGGCACGCAAAUUACCCAAUCCUGGCUCGGGGAGGUAGUGACGAGAAAUAACGAUGUGGGACUCUUCCGAGGCCUCACAAUCGGAAUGAGACCGAUGUAAACACGUGGUCGAGGAUCCAUUGGAGGGCAAGUCUGGUGC